Molecule: ribosomal RNA, 139 nt
Filed under: uncultured bacterium
Lineage: Bacteria
Description: partial 16S rRNA
Rfam family: Bacterial small subunit ribosomal RNA
Source: RNAcentral
UGGGGAAUAUUGCACAAUGGNNNNNAGCCUGAUGCAGCGACGCCGCGUGAGGGAUGACGGCCUUCGGGUUGUAAACCUCUUUCAGCAGGGAAGAAGCGCAAGUGACGGUACCUGCAGAAGAAGCACCGGCUAACUACGU